This 442-nucleotide ribosomal RNA is filed under the name uncultured bacterium. Its description in RNAcentral is "partial 16S ribosomal RNA". It matches the Rfam family "Bacterial small subunit ribosomal RNA", at positions 338 to 795 of the family's 1533-position model. The record is from RNAcentral.
CCUACGGGAGGCAGCAGUGGGGAAUAUUGGGCAAUGGGCGCAAGCCUGACCCAGCAACGCCGCGUGAAGGAAGAAGGCUUUCGGGUGGUAAACUUCUUUUGUCAGGGAAGAGCAGAGGACGGUACCUGUCGAAUAAGCCACGGCUAACUACGUGCCAGAAGCCGCGGUAAUACGUAGGUGGCAAGCGUUGUCCGGAUUUACUGGGUGUAAGGGGCGUGUAGCCGGGCUGACAAGUCAGAUGUGAAGUCCGGGGGCUAAACCCGCGAACUGCAUUUGAAACUGUUGGUCUGGAGUAUAGGAGAGGCAGGAGGAAUUCCUAGUGUAGCGGUGAAAUGCGUAGAUAUUAGGAGGAACACCAGUGGCGAAGGCGGCCUGCUGGACGACAACUGACGGUGAGGCGCGAAAGCGUGGGGAGCAAACAGGAUUAGAUACCCUUGUAGUC